RNAcentral lists this ribosomal RNA (464 nucleotides) under Vreelandella stevensii. Its description in RNAcentral is "partial 16S ribosomal RNA". It matches the Rfam family "Bacterial small subunit ribosomal RNA", at positions 338 to 795 of the family's 1533-position model. The record is from RNAcentral. Lineage: Bacteria; Pseudomonadati; Pseudomonadota; Gammaproteobacteria; Oceanospirillales; Halomonadaceae.
CCUACGGGUGGCUGCAGUGGGGAAUAUUGGACAAUGGGGGCAACCCUGAUCCAGCCAUGCCGCGUGUGUGUAGAAGGCCCUCGGGUUGUAAAGCACUUUCAGUGAGGAAGAACGCCUGGUGGUUAAUACCCAUCAGGAAAGACAUCACUCACAGAAGAAGCACCGGCUAACUCCGUGCCAGCAGCCGCGGUAAUACGGAGGGUGCGAGCGUUAAUCGGAAUUACUGGGCGUAAAGCGCGCGUAGGUGGCUUGAUAGCCGGUUGUGAAAGCCCCGGGCUCAACCUGGGAACGGCAUCCGGAACUGUCAAGCUAGAGUGCAGGAGAGGAAGGUAGAAUUCCCGGUGUAGCGGUGAAAUGCGUAGAGAUCGGGAGGAAUACCAGUGGCGAAGGCGGCCUUCUGGACUGACACUGACACUGAGGUGCGAAAGCGUGGGUAGCAAACAGGAUUAGAUACCCCAGUAGUC